AACGAACGCUGGCGGCAUGCCUAACACAUGCAAGUCGAACGAGACCUUCGGGUUUAGUGGCGCACGGGAGCGUAACGCGUGGGAACCUGCCCCUAGGUUCGGAAUAACUCCCCGCAAGGGGUGUUAAUACCGGAUAAUGUCUUCGGACCAAAGAUUUAUCGCCUUUGGAUGGGCCCGCGUUGGAUUAGCUAGUUGGUAGGGUAAAAGCCUACCAAGGCGACGAUCCAUAGCUGGUCUGAGAGGAUGAUCAGCCACACUGGGACUGAGACACGGCCCAGACUCCUACGGGAGGCAGCAGUGGGGAAUAUUGGACAAUGGGCGAAAGCCUGAUCCAGCAAUGCCGCGUGAGUGAUGAAGGCCUUAGGGUUGUAAAGCUCUUUUACCCGGGAUGAUAAUGACGGUACCGGGAGAAUAAGCUCCGGCUAACUCCGUG
This 433-nucleotide ribosomal RNA is filed under the name uncultured bacterium. RNAcentral describes it as "partial 16S ribosomal RNA". It matches the Rfam family "Bacterial small subunit ribosomal RNA", at positions 29 to 507 of the family's 1533-position model. The record is from RNAcentral.